RNAcentral lists this long non-coding RNA (3289 nucleotides) under Sus scrofa (pig). RNAcentral describes it as "lncRNA (ENSSSCG00025024418.1)". The record is from RNAcentral. Lineage: Eukaryota; Metazoa; Chordata; Mammalia; Artiodactyla; Suidae.
GGGAGGGCUCUUGGUCCCCUCCUCUUACCUUAGAAUCUCAGCAUUAAUUUAAAUCAAUUAUUUCAUGUGUCUCUGCCCCUACUUUCAUUGUUGAUUAAUAAAUUCUCUUUCCAUCUCUCACUUUCAAAUUCUCAAAGCAAUUGAUAUUAGCAGUCCAAUCGAUGGUACAUUACAGUGCAGGAAGCGGGUAGCCUCUUUCAGUAGUCAUACUGCUAUUCAUCCUUUCUUUCCAUUCUUUUUUUUUUUCUUUUUAGGGCCACACCCAGGGCAUAUGGAAGUUCCCUGGCUUGGGGUUGAAUUGGAGCUACAGUUGCCGACCUAUGACACAGCAACUCAGGAUCCGAGCCGUGUCUGCGACCUGCAUCACAGCUCAUGGCAAUGCCGGAUCAUUUAACCCACUGAGCGAGGCCAGGGAUUGAACCUGCAUCCUCAUGGAUACCAGUCGGGUUAGUUACCACUGAGCCAAGACAGGAACUCCUCCAUCCUCCAUUUCUUCUCACUCUUUGCUGCCUUCUAGUCCUCUCUUUCUUGCCAAUGAGAACUCAGUCACUUGACUACAUUUCAACUUCAAGAGAUGCUGGGAAAUGUAACCUGCCUGUGUGUGCAGGAGGAAAGGGAAAUAGCUUACAUGAACAAUUGGUUGGUCUCUAAAAAACAGGAAACAAGAAGAAAGUUCCUUUAUGGCUCAGUGGAUUAAGAACCCAACAUAGUGCCCAUGAGGGAUAGCAUUGUGAAUAUUCUAUGUGGAUUUGAUCUCAGGCCUUGCUCAGUGGGUUAAGGAUCCAGCAUGGCUGCAAGGUACGGUGUAGGCUUCAGAUGUACCUUGGAUCUGGCAUUACUGUGGCUGUGGCAUAGGUUGCAGCUGCAGCUCCAAUUCAACCUCUAGCCUGGGAACUUCCAUAUGCUGCAAGCCAUUUUUAAAAAAGAAAAGAACAGGUAGCAGCCUCAAGCUUAUGGUCUCUAGUUGUGCAAGUGCCCUGAAUCUGCCUGCAUAUGUUUGUCAAAGAGCCUCAGGUUUGUGGAAUUACUAGAAAAUGUGAGAUAGAGUUUUCCUGGGCUCUUUCCUAGAUAAGAAAACUUGAUGCUUAUCAGACAUAGAGAAUCUCAAUUGGUAGGAUUCCCCUGACUACUAGAUGUGAGCCAGCACCUAUUUGUAUACUCUGAAGACCUUAUUGCUACACAGAGCAAAGACACUUUUUCUGAACUUCUCUUUUAAGAGGGACAUCAAGAGCAUGUAGAAAGAAAUGCAUAGCUUGCUUGUGUGUCCUCUCAACAGCUGAUACUGCCCUGGAUUUUUACAGAUCCCAUCCCAUUGUCAGAUUGUGCAACCUAAUCCCUGGAUCCGGAAACAUGGCCACAAAGAUGUGAGUUCUGAACAAGUGUCUUGCAAAAGAAUUGUUAUCCCAUAUAGUUGAGGCAAGAGCUUGGUGACUCUGAUCCCAGCCCUGCUGUUAUCCAGCUUGGUGACCUUGGAUAUGUUACUUCAUAUCUGCAUUUUUGCUGAAAGGUUGAGUGUUUAAAAUACAUCAUUUUUGAGAAGCCUUAAGACUGGUGGUUGUGUUUUCUCAGCGGUGGUGCUGGGUAACACUAGUGGGAGAGGUACUCAAUUUCUUUUUAUUGUUGUCAUCAACUUUAGGCCUGCUUUUCCCGAAUGGAAGUUUCUUUAGGGGUAGGGUGAGACUUGGUGGACUUUGUACUCAUAUGGCCAACCCCAGCAGGAAGGUUUUAAAGAGGACCUCUAACUAUGAGGCCCAAAGGGUCUGUGUUGAUUUAUCAUAAGGAGGAGUUCUUAGAAUUCUGUCCUGAAUAUGAAACUGGGGGAUGGGAAAUAAAAUAAGAAAAAGGAGGGAUAGCAUUGUGAAUAUUCUAUAUCCUGGGCAAAAUGAUGGUAGGGUCAACUGGUCCUUGGCCUGCCCUUCAUUUAUGGCUGUCUUGCCUUUCUCUCCUGGAGCCCAGCCUAGGCAUCCUUUGCUGACAGUUGUUCUGAAUCCAGGGCCUUCCUCUUUGACUUGACACUUCUUUUUCUUGCACCCCUCUGGCUACUCUCAUAACCCUUCAUGUAGGUGUCUGUGCCUUUUAAGGACAUACUGCGUCUAAUGAGCAUAUCCUCAUUCAGAGAAAGGCAUUACCACUCUUUCUGAGGUGUAGUAGUAUAUUCUCAAAAGGAACAUCUGGAUACCAAAUUUCAUUCUUGACUGUGUGACCUCAGGGAGUUACUUCACUCAGGAUCAUCUGAGGCUCUAGAGCAAGAGAGAAUGGCCACAUGCUAGGCAGGGAGGGGGCUCACAGAGGUUUGAGCAGUCAAAAUCCCAUCACCAUUUCCCACAUGGAAGUCUCCCACUCUGCAGCUGCAAAGAGCUGGCCUUGACAUAGAGUUGUAGCAUUUCCCGAGACUUAGUUGAUAGAAGAAAUAGCAUUACAAGGAAUUAAUUAUUAGCCUUUGAGUCUUGAUAAGCAUUUGUUACAGACUGCUGUGCCUUUUCAUUAUGAUGUUGGGAAGGAGUGAGGAGGGAAGGCAUGGAGGAUGUUUUGCAGGCAGAUGAUGAAGGGACUUUGUAGACAGUGUGAUGAGAGAGGCCUCUGCAUAAUGACAGUCACUCAGGGAAAAUUCUGAGACUCCCAUGCAUCCCAGGCUCUUGAGAAAUAAGAACUUCCUGACAAAUCAUUUGGCUUAGUUUUAAGAAAAUGAGCCUCUUAAUUUGUAAACCAUCUUCAGGGACUGGCAUCUGAGUUAAGAAGCACGUUACUCUGGAAGAGAAAUAGAUGGAUGGGGAAAGGAACACAGUCAUCAGGAUAAGUAAACCUAGCCUCAGAGGUCAUGAGACAAGAAACCAGCAAAAAUAUCCCAAAUCUCCAAGACCACUCAGUGCAAUUCACCCCUCUGUGAUAAAUUGCAGCACUUAGUACCGGCCACCUAGUGGCGGAAGAGGGAACAGAAUGCUGAUUUAUGGGUUGCUAUGUUCCUGGUGGUUAACGAAUCUGACUNCUUUUUAUAAAAAUGUAUAAGACGGGGCUUAAGAUAGUUCACAUCAGAGGAGGAGUUUUAGCAUGGCAAUAUAACUUUACACUUAAAAAUUCAGCCAAUUUUGGAGUUCCCUUCGUGGCACAGUGGUUAACGAAUCUGACUAGGAACCAUGAGGUUGCGGGUUCAAUCCCUGGCCUUGUUCAGUGGGUUAAGGAUCUGGCGUUGCCGUGAGCUGUGGUGUAGGUCGCAGACUCGGCUCAGAUUCGCGUUGCUGUGGUUCUGGUGUAGGCCAACAGCAAUAGCUCCGAUUAGACCCCUAGCCUG